This 236-nucleotide ribosomal RNA is filed under the name uncultured bacterium. RNAcentral's name for it is "partial 16S ribosomal RNA". It matches the Rfam family "Bacterial small subunit ribosomal RNA", at positions 15 to 233 of the family's 1533-position model. The record is from RNAcentral.
GAUCAUGGCUCAGGAUGAACGCUGGCGGCGUGCUUAACACAUGCAAGUCGAGCGAAGCAAUUUAAGUGAAGUUUUCGGAUGAAUCUUAAAUUGACUGAGCGGCGGACGGGUGAGUAACGCGUGGAUAACCUGCCUCACACAGGGGGAUAACAGUUAGAAAUGACUGCUAAUACCGCAUAAGCGCACGGUACCGCAUGGUACAGUGUGAAAAACUCCGGUGGUGUGAGAUGGAUCCG